AUGUAUAGAAAUGUUAAAAGAAAAAUGUAGUGAACACCUUUUACCUAGACUCAUUAAUUGUUAACUUGUUAAUGUUUUUAUUCUCUCUCUCUCUCUCAUUCUAUCACUAUUAGAGUGAUUUAUUCAAUUUACAGAUUUAUUCAAUUCAAUGUAUUAGCAAUUAGUGACAUCUUCUUGAUGUUUAAAGUCUCUUAAAUUUACAGAGAUACACUUCAAGCCUGUAUCUGUUUCCUUUAAACGUGAAAUUGUUAGUAUUUAGACAAUUCCUGCCUUGAAUUAUGUUGGAAACAAAUGUUUGCAUUAUACCUGUUUAUUAAAGAGAUAUAGAAAUUCAACAAUAUCUAUUGAACUUACUACAUAAUCUUACGUUAUUUAAAAAUUUGCCUCUAGAUUCUUAUGGGUCUUCUAAGUAUGUGACCCUAUCAUGUGUGCACAAUGUCAGCUCUGUUUCUUCUCUAUUUUCUGUUGAGAUUUUCUCUUUGUCUGCAGUUUUGUGCAGUUUCAGUAUAUAAUAUCUAGGAAUGGAUUUCUGCUUAUUUUUCAUGUGAUAUUCAUUGACCACUUGAGUGUUCAGAGAUGACUUCUAUAACUGUUUAAAACUUACCAGUAUUUUAAGUAUUGUCUCUGCACCCUACUUUCUAAUAUACUUGUGGGUUCACAACUGGCAAUCAUGCAAUCUAAAAAUAAUAAAAGUUUUUUAUUUCUGUGAUAGGUUUUUGAAUUUCAGUUGACUUCAGAGGAUAUGAAAGCCAUAGAUGGCCUAAACAGAAAUCUCCGAUAUUUUAAUGGUGAUAGUCUCGCUAGCCACCCUAAUUAUCCAUAUUCAGAUGAAUAUUAACAUGGAGGGCUUUGCCUGAAGUCUACCAGAAGCCCUGUGUGUGGAUGGUGAUGCAGACGACGUCUCUAUGCUGGUGACUGGACCCAUCACCUCUUUAAAUCCAUUCUGCUUAGCGACUUCAGUCAACCAGAGCUAAAUCCACAGGCCAGAAAGACAAUAAAUUUUUAUCAUGUUGAAAUAAU
Non-coding RNA from Chlorocebus sabaeus (green monkey), 1020 nucleotides. NCBI's taxonomy places the organism in Eukaryota, Metazoa, Chordata, Mammalia, Primates, Cercopithecidae. The record is from RefSeq and is a predicted model, not a curated record.